This 253-nucleotide ribosomal RNA is filed under the name uncultured bacterium. Its description in RNAcentral is "partial 16S ribosomal RNA". It matches the Rfam family "Bacterial small subunit ribosomal RNA", at positions 524 to 776 of the family's 1533-position model. The record is from RNAcentral.
UACGAAGGGAGCUAGCGUUGCUCGGAAUCACUGGGCGUAAAGCGCACGUAGGCGGCUUGGUAAGUCAGGGGUGAAAUCCUGGAGCUCAACUCCAGAACUGCCUUUGAUACUGGCGAUCUCGAGUCCGGGAGAGGUGAGUGGAACUGCGAGUGUAGAGGUGAAAUUCGUAGAUAUUCGCAAGAACACCAGUGGCGAAGGCGGCUCACUGGCCCGGUACUGACGCUGAGGUGCGAAAGCGUGGGGAGCAAACAGG